Odocoileus virginianus texanus is the source of this 411-nucleotide non-coding RNA. The record is from RefSeq and is a predicted model, not a curated record. Lineage: Eukaryota; Metazoa; Chordata; Mammalia; Artiodactyla; Cervidae.
UUACUCUAAAUGUUAAUUCAAUGAGCAUCUUCUUUAAUUAUCCUAAUUGGUUUUUAAUUGAUUGUUUUUCAACUCACUAAAAGUAUGUUUAGCUUCCUGUCCCUUAAAAUAAUAUCUCUUUAUUUAUCCAGUGUGUCUCUACUCUGAGCCGGAGAGGAAACAAGAAUACAGUAGCUCUCUGUUUUAGAAGUGCUCUGUGCAAAUGUGGUUGAAAAAGCAGCUCCCCAUUACUAAACAGGCACAUGUCAUCUCCUCCUUCCUCACUGUGGAAUCUGAGCCUCUGAGAAGUGAGGUAACUUGCCUAAGUCUGCCAGAGGACUGAGACAUUGAAGAGACACACAGACGAGAAAGAUGAAUGGAUGUUUUAUAUAAGACCUGUGGAAGAGGAAGCUGUUUGCUGCCCAAGGCUGA